GAACGAACGCUGGCGGCAGGCCUAACACAUGCAAGUCGAACGCCCUGGCAACAGGGAGUGGCAGACGCGUGAGUAACGCGUGGGAAUCUACCUUGUGGUACGGAACAACCAAGGGAAACUUUGGCUAAUACCGUAUGAGCCCUUCGGGCGAAAGAUUUAUCGCCAUAAGAUGAGCCCGCGUAGGAUUAGCUAGUUGGUGAGGUAAAGGCUCACCAAGGCGACGAACCUUAGCUGGUCUGAGAGGAUGACCAGCCACACUGGGACUGAGACACGGCCCAGACUCCUACGGGAGGCAGCAGUGGGGAAUAUUGGACAAUGGGCGCAAGCCUGAUCCAGCCAUGCCGCGUGUGUGAUGACGGCCUUAGGGUUGUAAAGCACUUUCGCCGAUGAAGAUAAUGACUGUAGUCGGAGAAGAAGCCCCGGCUAACUUCGUGCCAGCAGCCGCGGUAAUACGAAGGGGGCUAGCGUUGUUCGGAAUUACUGGGCGUAAAGCGUACGUAGGCGGAUUGUUAAGUGAGGGGUGAAAUCCCGAGGCUCAAC
This 540-nucleotide ribosomal RNA is filed under the name Kaistia adipata. RNAcentral's name for it is "bacterial SSU rRNA". It matches the Rfam family "Bacterial small subunit ribosomal RNA", at positions 27 to 613 of the family's 1533-position model. Lineage: Bacteria; Pseudomonadati; Pseudomonadota; Alphaproteobacteria; Hyphomicrobiales; Kaistiaceae. The record is from RNAcentral.